Non-coding RNA from Ictidomys tridecemlineatus (thirteen-lined ground squirrel), 855 nucleotides. Lineage: Eukaryota; Metazoa; Chordata; Mammalia; Rodentia; Sciuridae. The record is from RefSeq and is a predicted model, not a curated record.
UAAAGGCCAGGGGCAUACAGCCCAUUCAUGAGGUCCACAGGGGCGGGUCUCAAGGGCAGUCCUGGCUAGGGAACACAGAGAGUACAAGGGGCUCUCUUGGGAAGGGAGGGAAGUGGUUCCCAUUUCUCCACAGUUUUCUGGGAUCAGUACAAAAGGGGCAGAUUCUGUCCAGCUCAAGAUACUGAGGCUUUUUAAAUUCCUCCAAGCAAAGCAGGACCCAGGAAGGGCCAUAGCCAGAGACAAGCCUCAGGCGCAUCAAAGCCCACCUCCCCACAAGGCAGCCUGGAAGACAGGAGUGUAAAAAUCACAGCAGACUCCAACCCUAAACCGAUUUGGGAUUAUUGAGGUUAGAAUAAGGGGAAAGAGAAAGCAGAUCUCUCUUUAGGAAAAAGGUUUCCAUCUACAAGCUACCCAUACACCUGUUCUUUAUGGAGACAAAGGGCAGUUGGAAAAAUUAGAAAAGCAGAUAUUUUUUUUUUUUUUAUUAGGAUUUGAUGCUGGUGUCUUAAGAAUUCGAGUUUAUAUUAAAAAUGUGAAAGUGCCAAACCUCAAAGCAAGUCUGUGGAUCCGAAGUAAGUGGGAUGGUAGCAGAGAAGAAAAACGCAGGCGGGUUGCGAUACAGAGCCGCCCUGGAGGCCUCUGGACUGGCUCAUCUGGCAUUCCGCAGCGCUCAGGUGCGGGAUCGCAGGGCUCGCGAGCGCUUGUUCCAGCUCAUUGCCACGGAGCAGUGCUUCUUCACCCCACCUUUCUGCCAUGAUGUUCUGCCUCACCCUGGGCCCAGAGCAAUGGAAUCAGCUGAUAAUGGAGGACUGAACCUCUGAAACUGUGAGCCAAAAUAAACUUUUCUUUCCUGAA